AUUGGUCAAUGGGCGCAAGCCUGAACCAGCCAUCCCGCGUGCAGGAAGACGGCCCUAUGGGUUGUAAACUGCUUUUCCGGGGGGAGUAUUUUUCCGUCGUGACGGGAAUGGACGGUACCUCGGGCAUAAGCAUCGGCUAACUCCGUGCCAGCAGCCGCGGUAAUACGGAGGAUGCGAGUGUUAUCCGGAUUUAUUGGUUUUAAAGGGUGCGUAGGCGGAAUGCUAAGUCAGUGGUGAAACCCUGCAGCUUAACUGUAGACUUGCCGUUGAUACUGUCAGUCUUGAGUGUGGUCAAGGUAGGCGGAAUGUGUAAUGUAGCGGUGAAAUGCUUAGAUAUUACACAGAACACCGAUUGCGAAGGCAGCUUACUGGGCCAUUACUGACGCUGAUGUACGAAAGCGUGGGGAUCGAACAG
RNAcentral lists this ribosomal RNA (415 nucleotides) under uncultured bacterium. RNAcentral describes it as "bacterial SSU rRNA". It matches the Rfam family "Bacterial small subunit ribosomal RNA", at positions 363 to 775 of the family's 1533-position model. The record is from RNAcentral.